Paramisgurnus dabryanus is the source of this 414-nucleotide long non-coding RNA. RefSeq lists it as uncharacterized. Lineage: Eukaryota; Metazoa; Chordata; Actinopteri; Cypriniformes; Cobitidae. The record is from RefSeq and is a predicted model, not a curated record.
CGCAAACAUGGCGGCGAGAAAGAAAGCGAGACACUGGACUCGGGAGGAAACUUUAGCUUUAAUUUCGGUAUGGAGUGAACCUACAUUCCAAUUUCAAUUUGAACACUGCGUACACAAUCACAAAGUUUGGCACGAAAUCUGGAAAAAAGUUUGUCAGGUUUGUCUUUCGAUACAAAACACGUUCGACUCCAUGAAAUGCAAAGACCGCAUUGAGUAUCUCAAGCGACUUUAUCGGGACUGCGUGAAGCACAACAACAAGACCGGGUCUGACCCACAACGUUGCCCAUAUUAUGAUGAACUGGACUCUGUUCUUGCAUGUCGCCCUAUGACUAACCCUAGGGGUUGGACAUAUGGAUAUGUCAAGCUCAGAUGAGCAAGAACAUUCAUCUAGCAGUGCAGACACAUCUGGAGUAU